Long non-coding RNA from Talpa occidentalis (Iberian mole), 395 nucleotides. RefSeq lists it as uncharacterized. The transcript has 3 exons. Lineage: Eukaryota; Metazoa; Chordata; Mammalia; Eulipotyphla; Talpidae. The record is from RefSeq and is a predicted model, not a curated record.
UUUUAAAGAAUCAUCCUUGCACAUGGUGCUUCCUAUUUCUGAGGCUUUCUGGAGUGUUAGAUUCUGUUGACUGGGUUCUCCUCGGCAUGUCCCUCUGAAGAUACACAGCUUCUAUCCUUUCCACUCAACUUGGAAACAGAAUCAAGAUUUCUCAGAGACCGCCCCAUCCUUUCCAUUAAACAAUCAUUCAGGCAACUUACACUCAGAAGAGGAAACACUGACACUUAAUCAACAAAAGAAAGUCACACUUGAUGUCCUGUUUGUACAGAGACAAAAAUAGUUCUUCAAAAAUAGCAGAUUGAAGUUUAUAUUGAAAAAUGUCCAUUAUGAUAGUGAGCAUUUCUCUAUCUCUGUUCCUGAGAUAAUCUGUGCUACCACAAUAAAUAAUGCACUGA